GCCAGCGCUGCUCCAAUCUGAUGGACAGGGAGGUGGGCACGUUGUCAUUCGUCGAGUUUUUAGGUGUUUUGCGAAAAAAGACCGAGAAGAUCAGCUUCAAGAUCGAACACUAGAGGUCAACGGAUGUAAAAUGUUGUUUUUGUAAAGCUGGAGUUGGUCUCGCCAUCUUUUGGAGAGAAGAGACAUCGGGUUUUCAGCGCUAGCGUGAGCAGGCUAACUGACGAGGAAAAGCGCAGCUGCUCUAAAAAAGAUUGACGUGACCUGACCUCGCUGGCCCACCACUCAGUUUGACACAACCCCUCCUCCCUAAGCUCUAUGGCCCUCGGGUACGUCUGCCACACCUCUUUUUUCUAGUUUUAGGUGUAUUGGUCAAUGUUUUGCAUGUUUGUGCUUCUACAAACUUUCUUUCACAUUAAUACUGAAGCUAUAAAUAGCAUUAAACCUGAAUCCGUAUCAAGAUCUCAUAACUCAUCUUGACAAAGUAGUACAUGAUUCAACAGCAGUCAUUGGAAUGUGAUUUGUGGAUGGUUGCAUGCUGGGAGUUUUUGCUAAUAGUGGUUUUAGCAGGAUCAUGUUGAGUAAAUUCAUAAAUGCAGGAUGACGGUUACAUCAUACUGCUUUACAGAUUGCUUCAUCAAAAACACAGUCGUCUCGGUCUGCGCAGAUGUCUUGUUGUUGUGUUAAGGGCAGGAUGAAAAUUCCUUUGGGAAGGCUGAAUAAUCAAAGAACAGUAGCCACAGCACAGUGGUUCCGUG
Molecule: long non-coding RNA, 755 nt
Filed under: Danio rerio (zebrafish)
Lineage: Eukaryota; Metazoa; Chordata; Actinopteri; Cypriniformes; Danionidae
Description: si:ch211-14g4.4 (ENSDARG00000096718.2)
Source: RNAcentral